UGCUAUUGGGGUCCGAUUUAGCCAUGCUAGUUGCACGAGUUCAUACUCGUGGCGAAAAGCUCAGUAACACGUGGCCAAACUACCCUACAGAGAACGAUAACCUCGGGAAACUGAGGCUAAUAGUUCAUACGGGAGUCAUGCUGGAAUGCCGACUCCCCGAAACGCUCAGGCGCUGUAGGAUGUGGCUGCGGCCGAUUAGGUAGACGGUGGGGUAACGGCCCACCGUGCCGAUAAUCGGUACGGGUUGUGAGAGCAAGAGCCCGGAGACGGAAUCUGAGACAAGAUUCCGGGCCCUACGGGGCGCAGCAGGCGCGAAACCUUUACACUGCACGCAAGUGCGAUAAGGGGACCCCAAGUGCGAGGGCAUAUAGUCCUCGCUUUUCACGACUGUAAGGCGGUCGUGGAAUAAGAGCUGGGCAAGACCGGUGCCAGCCGCCGCGGUAAUACCGGCAGCUCAAGUGAUGACCGAUAUUAUUGGGCCUAAAGCGUCCGUAGCCGGCCACGAAGGUUCAUCGGGAAAUCCGCCAGCUCAACUGGCGGGCGUCCGGUGAAAACCACGUGGCUUGGGACCGGAAGGCUCGAGGGGUACGUCCGGGGUAGGAGUGAAAUCCCGUAAUCCUGGACGGACCACCGAUGGCGAAAGCACCUCGAGAAGACGGAUCCGACGGUGAGGGACGAAAGCUAGGGUCUCGAACCGGAUUAGAUACCCGGGUAGUCCUAGCUGUAAACGAUGCUCGCUAGGUGUGGCACAGGCUACGAGCCUGUGCUGUGCCGUAGGGAAGCCGAGAAGCGAGCCGCCUGGGAAGUACGUCCGCAAGGAUGAAACUUAAAGGAAUUGGCGGGGGAGCACUACA
This 854-nucleotide ribosomal RNA is filed under the name Halobacteriaceae archaeon Ston5. RNAcentral's name for it is "bacterial SSU rRNA". It matches the Rfam family "Archaeal small subunit ribosomal RNA", at positions 28 to 883 of the family's 1478-position model. Lineage: Archaea; Methanobacteriati; Methanobacteriota; Halobacteria; Halobacteriales; Halobacteriaceae. The record is from RNAcentral.